RNAcentral lists this ribosomal RNA (135 nucleotides) under Paenibacillus larvae. Its description in RNAcentral is "partial 16S ribosomal RNA". It matches the Rfam family "Bacterial small subunit ribosomal RNA", at positions 1399 to 1533 of the family's 1533-position model. Lineage: Bacteria; Bacillati; Bacillota; Bacilli; Caryophanales; Paenibacillaceae. The record is from RNAcentral.
ACACCACGAGAGUUUACAACACCCGAAGUCGGUGAGGUAACCGCAAGGGGSCAGCCGCCGAAGGUGGGGUAGAUGAUUGGGGUGAAGUCGUAACAAGGUAGCCGUAUCGGAAGGUGCGGCUGGAUCACCUCCUUU